Molecule: transfer RNA, 67 nt
Filed under: China mantispoides
Lineage: Eukaryota; Metazoa; Arthropoda; Insecta; Orthoptera; Chorotypidae
Description: tRNA-Met
Rfam family: tRNA
About the family: Transfer RNA (tRNA) molecules are approximately 80 nucleotides in length. Their secondary structure includes four short double-helical elements and three loops (D, anti-codon, and T loops).
Source: RNAcentral
AAAAGAUAAGCUAAAUUUAAGCUAAUGGGUUCAUAUCCCAUUUAUAAAGGUUUAAUCCUUUUCUUUU